CAGCGCCACGGGAAUACGAAGGGUGCAAGCGUUACUCGGAAUUACCGGGCGUAAAGCGUGCGUAGGUGGUGGUUUAAGUCCGUUGUGAAAGCCCUGGGCUCAACCUGGGAAUUGCAGUGGAUACUGGGUCACUAGAGUGUGGUAGAGGAUAGUGGAAUUUCCGGUGUAGCAGUGAAAUGCGUAGAGAUCAGAAGGAACAUCUGUGGCGAAGGCGACUAUCUGGGCCAACACUGACACUGAGGCACGAAAGCGUGGGGAGCAAACAGGAUUAGAUACCCCGGUAGUCCCUGUCUCUUAUACA
RNAcentral lists this ribosomal RNA (301 nucleotides) under uncultured bacterium. Its description in RNAcentral is "partial 16S ribosomal RNA". It matches the Rfam family "Bacterial small subunit ribosomal RNA", at positions 509 to 808 of the family's 1533-position model. The record is from RNAcentral.